Molecule: non-coding RNA, 73 nt
Organism: Zootermopsis nevadensis
Lineage: Eukaryota; Metazoa; Arthropoda; Insecta; Blattodea; Termopsidae
Source: Rfam
GCCACGGUGGUCUAGCGGUUAGAACGCUGGCCUUCUAAUCCUGGGGUCUCGGGUUCGAUUCCCGGCGGUGCCC